UCGGUUGAUCCUGCCGGAGGCUACUGCUAUCGGGGUUCGAUUAAGCCAUGCGAGUUAAAUGUUCUUCGUGAACAUAGCGAACUGCUCAGUAACACGUGGAUAACCUACCCUUAGGACCGGAAUAACCCCGGGAAACUGGGGAUAAUACCGGAUAAGCCAUAGACGCUGGAUGCCCUAUGGUUCAAAGCUCCGGCGCCUAAGGAUGGAUCUGCGGUCUAUCAGGUUGUAGUGGGUGUAACGUACCUACUAGCCGACGACGGAUACGGGUUGUGAGAGCAAGAGCCCGGAGAUGGAUUCUGAGACACGAAUCCAGGCCCUACGGGGUGCAGCAGGCGCGAACACUUUACAAUGCGGGAAACCGCGAUAAGGGAACCCCGAGUGCCAGCAUCAAAUGUUGGCUGUCCAGAUGGUUAAAAAUCAUUUGUUAGCAAGGGCCGGGCAAGACCGGUGCCAGCCGCCGCGGUAACACCGGCGGCCCGAGUGGUAGCCGUUUUUAUUGGGUCUAAAGGGUCCGUAGCCGGCCUGAUAAGUCCUUUGGGAAAUCUGACAGCUUAACUGUCGGGCUUCUAAGGGAUACUGUCAGGCUUGGGACCGGGAGAGGUAAGGGGUACUCCAGGGGUAGGAGUGAAAUCUUGUAAUCCCUGGGGGACCAUCUGUGGCGAAGGCGCCUUACCAGAACGGGUCCGACGGUGAGGGACGAAAGCUAGGGGAGCAAACCGGAUUAGAUACCCGGGUAGUCCUAGCUGUAAACGAUGCUCGCUAGGUGUCAGANACGGUGCGACCGUGUUUGG
This 791-nucleotide ribosomal RNA is filed under the name uncultured archaeon. Its description in RNAcentral is "bacterial SSU rRNA". It matches the Rfam family "Archaeal small subunit ribosomal RNA", at positions 4 to 798 of the family's 1478-position model. The record is from RNAcentral.